AACUGUUAGAAAACGGUUGAGGUUGGAAUAGAUCUCUUGAGAUUAGUUAGUCCACCCGCCUUGCUCUCCUGAAAUACCUGUGAUGGUGUGUAUUUGCAUAUAAAGAGACAUGGCAUGAAGAGCCAGGUGUGAGGUUUAACUUCUUAAGAAGUGCCAGAUGGCUGCAGAGCAAUGAGGGUGCAGUAACUUUUGAAAGAACAUUCUGGCACAGUAUUGAAUAUUAUUUGGAAUACUAUUCAUUGGAAUUUAAAGCGUAUCUGAAUUUUGGAAGUUUCCCACUAGUCUAACAGAUGUGUGAUUUUUAGAGUGAAAGAAUCUGCUACAUCUUCCACAGAUACUGACUGAGUAUGGGAGAGAGCUGAUACCAUCCAACUCUUACAUUAGCAGGUGGUAAAGAGUUUUGAAAUAGCAGGAACAGCAUAAAAGCACACAGGAGUUGAGAUCUGUAAGAACAACUUCAGUUAAACCUGUGAGAAAAUAAAUGGAAGAGAUCUCACA
Molecule: long non-coding RNA, 498 nt
Filed under: Cyanistes caeruleus (blue tit)
Lineage: Eukaryota; Metazoa; Chordata; Aves; Passeriformes; Paridae
Description: lncRNA (ENSCCEG00000019621.1)
Source: RNAcentral